UACGUAGGGGGCAAGCGUUGUCCGGAAUCAUUGGGCGUAAAGAGCGUGUAGGCGGCCCGGUAAGUCCGCUGUGAAAGUCCAGGGCUCAACCCUGGGAUGCCGGUGGAUACUGUCGGGCUCGAGUCCGGAAGAGGAGUGUGGAGUUCCUGGUGUAGCGGUGAAAUGCGCAGAUAUCAGGAGGAACACCGGUGGCGAAGGCGGGACUCUGGGCCGAUGACUGACGCUGAGGAGCGAAAGCGUGGGGAGCAAACAGG
This 254-nucleotide ribosomal RNA is filed under the name uncultured bacterium. RNAcentral describes it as "partial 16S ribosomal RNA". It matches the Rfam family "Bacterial small subunit ribosomal RNA", at positions 524 to 776 of the family's 1533-position model. The record is from RNAcentral.